Molecule: ribosomal RNA, 621 nt
Filed under: Dysdercus andreae
Lineage: Eukaryota; Metazoa; Arthropoda; Insecta; Hemiptera; Pyrrhocoridae
Description: SSU rRNA
Rfam family: Eukaryotic small subunit ribosomal RNA
Source: RNAcentral
AAAAAAUAACGAUACGGGACUCAUCCGAGGCCCCGUAAUCGGAAUGAGAACAUCCUAAAUCCUUUAACGAGGAUCUAUUGGAGGGCAAGUCUGGUGCCAGCAGCCGCGGUAAUUCCAGCUCCAAUAGCGUAUAUUAAAGUUGUUGCGGUUAAAAAGCUCGUAGUUGGUUCUGCGUGCCACGCUGUCGGUUCACCGCCUGUCGGUGCAACUGGCAUGCCGUGGCAUGUCCUGUCGGUGGCGUGCAGGCUUCGCGGCGCUCCCUGCAUGAUACGUUGUGUAGGUCGUCGAGUAGUCCUCGUACGCCGUCUCAAUCCUGCCGCGGUGCUCUUUACCGAGUGUCGAGGUAGGCCGGCACAUUUUACUUUGAACAAAUUAGAGUGCUUAAAGCAGGCUCUUAAAUCAGCCUGAAUAGUGGUGCAUGGAAUAAUGGAACAGGACCUUGGUUCUAUUUUGUUGGUUUUAGGAAUCCAAGGUAAUGAUCAAUAAGGACAGGCGGGGGCAUUCGUAUUGCGACGUUAGAGGUGAAAUUCUUGGAUCGUCGCAAGACGCACUAGAGCGAAAGCAUUUGCCAAGUAUGUCUUAAUUGAUCAAGAACGAAAGUUAGAGGUUCGAAGGCGAUCA